Molecule: ribosomal RNA, 651 nt
Filed under: Triticum aestivum (bread wheat)
Lineage: Eukaryota; Viridiplantae; Streptophyta; Magnoliopsida; Poales; Poaceae
Description: partial small subunit ribosomal RNA
Source: RNAcentral
AUGAACAUUGCCCUCCUGACCCGCUGGCUCUGGCGCAUUGCCAAUGGCGAUGGAGGCCUUUGGCUCACCAUCAUCCAGAACAAGUACCUUCGAGGACAGCCUCUUGCAUUCUGUCAGCGCUCGGGCGGCUCCCAGUUUUGGCAGGCCAUCGUCCAGCUGCUUCCUGCGCUUCGCAUUGGCACAUCCAUCUCGGUUGGUACUGGGUCCACGACCCUGUUCUCGUUUGAUCGGUGGAUUGGCGACGCCCCCCUGGCCGCGCGAUUUCUGGAGCUAUUCGCCAUUGCAGUUGACCCUCGUGUCUCUGUCGAGACGGCCCUUAUUGACUUAGGGCGCCUUGCUUUCCGCCGCCCCUUUGGCCCACCUGAAGUAGCCGCUUGGGAUGCCCUCCUUCAGGACAUCCCCCUCCUCCCUAUGGACGUCGCCCACAACCCGGACGCCAUCUCUUGGCGUCUGGAACCUUCCGGCUGCUUCUCCACCAAAUCCCUCUACGCGGCCACCGCCCCCUCGACGGCCCCCGAGCCCUUUAGUUUGAUUUGGGACAUCCGCCUGCCCCUGAAGAUCAGGAUCUUCCUGUGGCAAUGGAUCCGAGGCCGCCUCCCGUCCGGCGUGGAGGUCCUUAAGCGUAAUGGACCUGGUGAUGGGAUGUGCCCC